Molecule: small RNA, 267 nt
Filed under: Macaca nemestrina (pig-tailed macaque)
Lineage: Eukaryota; Metazoa; Chordata; Mammalia; Primates; Cercopithecidae
Description: Metazoan signal recognition particle RNA (ENSMNEG00000014047.1)
Rfam family: Metazoan signal recognition particle RNA (bases 1-117)
Source: RNAcentral
GCCGGGUGCAGUGGCUCUUGCUUGUAAUCCUAGCCCUUUGGGAGGCUGAGAUGGGAGGAUCACUUGAGGCCAGGAGUUCAAGACCAGCCUGGUCAACAUAGUGAUACUCCAUCUCUUUAAAAAAAAUUUUUUUUCUUUAAAGCAAGUUAUGGCCAGGCGUGGUGGCUCACGCCUGUAAUCUCAGCACUUUGGGAGGCCUAGGUGGGUGGAUCACCUGAGGUCAGGAGUUCAAGGCCAGCCUGGUCAACAUAGUGAUACCCCAUCUCU